Molecule: ribosomal RNA, 375 nt
Filed under: Scolytus ecksteini
Lineage: Eukaryota; Metazoa; Arthropoda; Insecta; Coleoptera; Curculionidae
Description: partial 28S ribosomal RNA
Source: RNAcentral
AGAGUACGUGAAACCGUUUAGGGGUAAACCUGAGAAACCCGAAAAGUCGAAGGGAGAAAUUCACCGCGGUUCGACGAAGGUGACAAUUCGACGAGUGACUGCGCUCUUCGGACGCGCGGCGCCGUCGUUUCGUCUAACCGACGACGAACGCGUGCACUUUUCUCCCGGUAGGACGUCGCGAUCCGUUGGGCGUCGGUCUACGGCUGACGGUGGAGACCGCGAGUCGUUUUUCGGAACGUACGCGCGGACCCGUCUGCACCCCGACCGACUCGCUCGACGGUAUACGAACGGUUUUGGGCCGCUUUCAAAGCGUCCGGUCGUCCUCGGACAGACCAGAAACCGAUCUGCGACGCUAUAGCUUUGGGUAAUUUCAGG